Molecule: ribosomal RNA, 365 nt
Filed under: uncultured eukaryote
Lineage: Eukaryota
Description: partial 18S ribosomal RNA
Rfam family: Eukaryotic small subunit ribosomal RNA
Source: RNAcentral
CAAUAGCGUAUAUUUAAGUUGUUGCAGUUAUAAAGCUCGUAGUCGGAUUUUGGCUGAGAACGAUCGGUCCGCCGUUAGGUGUGCACUGAUUGGUCUCAGCUUCCUGGUGAGGAGGUGUGCUUCACGGCCACUUAGUCACCGUGGUUACUUUGAAAAAAUUAGAGUGUUCAAAGCGGGCUUACGCUUGAAUAUAUUAGCAUGGAAUAACACCAUAGGACUCCUGUCCUAUUUCGUUGGUCACGGGACGGGAGUAAUGAUUAAGAGGAACAGUUGGGGGCAUUCGUAUUUCAUUGUCAGAGGUGAAAUUCUUGGAUUUAUGAAAGACGAACUUCUGCGAAAGCAUUUGCCAAGGAUGUUUUCAUUGA